AUACGGAGGGUGCAAGCGUUAAUCGGAAUUACUGGGCGUAAAGCGUGCGUAGGUGGUUUGUUAAGUCAGAUGUGAAAGCCCCGGGCUCAACCUGGGAACUGCAUUUGAAACUGGCAUACUAGAGUGUAGGAGAGGAAAGUGGAAUUUCAGGUGUAGCGGUGAAAUGCGUAGAUAUCUGAAGGAACAUCAAUGGCGAAGGCAGCUUUCUGGACUAAUACUGACACUGAGGUACGAAAGCGUGGGUAGCAAACAGGAUUAGAAACCCGAGUAGUCC
This 274-nucleotide ribosomal RNA is filed under the name uncultured bacterium. RNAcentral describes it as "partial 16S ribosomal RNA". It matches the Rfam family "Bacterial small subunit ribosomal RNA", at positions 523 to 796 of the family's 1533-position model. The record is from RNAcentral.